RNAcentral lists this ribosomal RNA (450 nucleotides) under uncultured bacterium. RNAcentral's name for it is "bacterial SSU rRNA". It matches the Rfam family "Bacterial small subunit ribosomal RNA", at positions 328 to 793 of the family's 1533-position model. The record is from RNAcentral.
GCCCCAGACUCCUACGGGAGGCAGCAGUGGGGAAUAUUGCACAAUGGGGGAAACCCUGAUGCAGCGACGCCGCGUGAGUGAAGAAGUAAUUCGUUAUGUAAAGCUCUAUCAGCAGGGAAGAAAAUGACGGUACCUGAGUAAGAAGCCCCGGCUAACUACGUGCCAGCAGCCGCGGUAAUACGUAGGGGGCAAGCGUUAUCCGGAUUUACUGGGUGUAAAGGGAGCGUAGACGGCAGUGCAAGUCUGGAGUGAAAGCCCGGGGCCCAACCCCGGGACUGCUCUUGGAACUGCGUGGCUGGAGUGCAGGAGGGGCAGGCGGAAUUCCUGGUGUAGCGGUGAAAUGCGUAGAUAUCAGGAGGAACACCGGUGGCGAAGGCGGCCUGCUGGACUGCAACUGACGUUGAGGCCCGAAAGCGUGGGGAGCAAACAGGAUUAGAUACCCCGGUAAUG